GAUGAAGAACGUAGCGAAAUGCGUUAAGUAAUGUGAAUUGCAGAAUUCAGUGAAUCAUCGAAUCUUUGAACGCACAUUGCGCCCUCUGGUAUUCCGGGGGGCAUGCCUGUUCGAGCGUCAUUAUAACCACUCAAGCUCUCGCUUGGUAUUGGGGUUCGCGGUUCCGCGGCCCCUAAAAUCAGUGGCGGUGCCUGUCGGCUCUACGCGUAGUAAUACUCCUCGCGAUUGAGUCCGGUAGGUCUACUUGCCAGCAACCCCCAAUUUUUACAGGUUGACCUCGGAUCAGGUAGGGAUACCCGCUGAACUUAAGCAUAUCAAUAAGCGGAGGA
This 329-nucleotide unclassified non-coding RNA is filed under the name soil metagenome. RNAcentral's name for it is "partial contains 5.8S ribosomal RNA, internal transcribed spacer 2, and large subunit ribosomal RNA". The stretch from base 1 to 120 matches the Rfam family "5.8S ribosomal RNA", at positions 35 to 154 of the family's 154-position model. The record is from RNAcentral.